RNAcentral lists this unclassified non-coding RNA (370 nucleotides) under Hevea brasiliensis (rubber tree). The record is from RNAcentral. Lineage: Eukaryota; Viridiplantae; Streptophyta; Magnoliopsida; Malpighiales; Euphorbiaceae.
CCGGUGAUGGGGAUAGAAAAAGCAGAACUCGCAGUUUUUAAUUUUAAUUUUUCAUUUUUUUCUCAAUUUCGGCGACUGAGCGCUGAUUAUGAUGAACAACGGCCAAAGACUCUUGGCGACGAAACCUCAAAUGCUUGGCAAUGAACUCGUCUACCGCGCGCUGAAAGUCCCCGUCACUUAAUUCAUUCUCUGGACAAAAACUCUCGCAGUCGGUGAACUUCACCGCAUUCAUGCACUUCUCAGUCUCCGAUCGCCGCAGCUUCUUCGCUUUCACCUUCUCCGCGCACUUUUUCCGUAGCUUCUCCGAUUUUGACCUUCGACAAACUCUCGGAUUGCCAGAAUCCGUUUCCAAAUGUGAAUCCGAAAACGA